AGUUCGGAGAGUUUGAUCUUGGCUCAGGACGAACGCUGACGGUGUGCUUUAGACAUGCAAGUCGAACGAGAAAGCCCUUCGGGGUGAGUACAGUGGCGAACGGGUGAGUAACACGUGGGUAACCUACCCCUCGCAGGGGGAUAACCGGGGGAAACCCCGGCUAAUACCCCGUACGCUUGCCGGGCCGCAUGGUCCGGUAAGGAAAGGUAGCUUCGGCCAUCCGGCGAGGGAUGGGCCCGCGGUGCAUUAGCUAGUUGGUGGGGUAACGGCCCACCAAGGCUACGAUGCAUAGCUGGUCUGAGAGGAUGAUCAGCCACACUGGGACUGAGACACGGCCCAGACUCCUACGGGAGGCAGCAGUCGGGAAUCUUGCGCAAUGGGCGAAAGCCUGACGCAGCAACACCGUGUGAGCGACGAAGGCCUUCGGGUCGUAAAGCUCUGUUGUUGGGGACGAAGGGCGAAGGGUUAAUAGCCCCUAGCCUGACGGUACCCUUCGAGGAAGCCCCGGCUAACUACGUGCCAGCAGCCGCGGUAAUACGUAGGGGGCGAGCGUUGUCCGGAAUUAUUGGGCGUAAAGAGCGUGUAGGCGGUUCGGUAAGUCUGCCGUGAAAACCUGGGGCUCAACCCCAGGCGUGCGGUGGAAACUGCCGGGCUAGAGGAUGGUAG
This 666-nucleotide ribosomal RNA is filed under the name Actinomycetota bacterium. RNAcentral describes it as "bacterial SSU rRNA". It matches the Rfam family "Bacterial small subunit ribosomal RNA", at positions 1 to 654 of the family's 1533-position model. The record is from RNAcentral. Lineage: Bacteria; Bacillati; Actinomycetota.